RNAcentral lists this long non-coding RNA (1854 nucleotides) under Vitis vinifera (wine grape). RNAcentral's name for it is "long non-coding RNA (VVIN_LNC001346)". The record is from RNAcentral. Lineage: Eukaryota; Viridiplantae; Streptophyta; Magnoliopsida; Vitales; Vitaceae.
CUUGCAUCCAUCCAUCCUGAAUGAUAUUCUUUGUUGUGUCCAUUCUUAUAAGCAAGGUCUACAUGAAUUUAUGGAACUGGAUUUCCUUCUUAUUUACCUUGUCUCCUGUUAUUAUUAGAUGAAUGACAGCAGAUUUUACCCUGGGUACGCUCAUUUUUAAUAUCUUUUCUAUGCUCAAAUCAUAUAUCUGUAGUGCUGAUCAUUGAUUAUUACUUUUGUUGGGGUCAUGUUUAACCGUUAAAUAGAUUUUGGGACAGGAACACCUAUGGCAUCGUUAUGCUUCUGCUAUCUGUUCACAAAUCGGGGGAUUAUUUUUGUCUGCCUCAAAAAUAUGGUAGUUUUGAAGAAAAAAAUUUCUCAAGGCUCUCCUAAUUGUUGGCAGUGGGUGCAUUGCAUCCAAUCAGUAUCAAAUGCUCUUGUCGGGGAAUACAUGAAACCAAGGUUGUCAAAAUCAUGUUUGCAAAUAGGCUUGAUAUGGGAUCACAAUUGAAUUAUGAAGAAUAACAAGAUUGUAGAAAGAAAAAGGUAACAGAUAAAAAGGGUAUAUAUUUCAAAAUCAUGAUAUAAUUUCAAGAAAAAGAUGUAGAAGAAUCAAACCAAUGUCUGGAAACUAGGCAUGAUUUCAUCCGUAGCCAGAGAUUGAAAAGAAGAAAGAGGGAAAGAGGGAUGAGGGGUGAAUGAUGUACUGAAAAACUGCUGAAAAUCAGAAAUGUCAAGAAGUAUAUCUCUGAGGUCAAAGAGAAAAAAAAAUCUAAUAGAUGAUAUAGUUGAUGGAAAAAGAACCAAUAUCUCUGCUCUGCUGAAAAUAUUUCUAGGUGACUCCUAAUUUUGAUUGUUUUAACAGUGAAAAAAAUAAAGGCAGGACUAGUUGCUUGCUAGACUCUCAGGGGUUGUCCCCCAAGUUGACUGGCCCCCAGCCUACCAUGAUAUGAUUCUUGUAUGUUGUGAGUUUUGAAUGGGAGCCAGGUCUUAGUUUUGUGAUGGUAUUGGGCAUAGUGGGUAUCUAGAAUCUUCAUUGGGAGCUUAAUGGCUAUUCCUAGAACAUUUUGUAUGGAUUGGUUAAUGGUGCUGGGUUCAAUAGAAAUGUAUUUUUCUUUCUCGAUGAACUAAAAGUUGAUCAAGAAGACCCAGUAGACACGAGUAGACCUUUUCUGUACGCAAGAUCAAACUUAUCACACAUUGAUGAAAAGUGGUGUUAGGGCUCUAAAAAAGAGUGGGAAAAUUUUGGAGUUUGUUCAUGCACACAAACAAAUAACAAUGAGAGUUGCAUUUUUGACUUGUUAUCUUUAUUUCUUUCUUUGGCAGAACCUAGCUGGACGCAAAGAACAGUCAGCACUCCGGGCUGUCAUCAAGUGCAUUGAAGAAUACAAACUGGAAGCUGAGUUCCCUCCAGAAAACCUUAAGAAGCGCCUUGAACAGCUAGAGAAAGCAAAAACUGACAAGAAAAGGCCAGCUGCAGUCCCUGCCAACAAACGAACACGAGCAAGCAAUGGUGGGCCCAUGCCUCCAGCCAAGGCUGGCCGCUUGACAAAUGCAUACGUAUCAUCUUUCCCAGCUGCUCCUACAUUCAUCCGGUCUCCCUCUCACACUCAGUACCCUGCUGCAGUCCCUGCAUACCCAUAUGACAGGCCAGCUGCACCUGCCAUGUAUGGCAGCAGGAGUCCACCAGCCAACCCUUAUGCUUACUCGCCGGAAGCUGCCCCUCCUCUUGCUGGAUCAUAUCCUGGAGCUCCCAUCAACUAUCCUGCAUAUGGAGGCUAUGGCAAUGGUAUGGCACCAGCUUAUCAGCAGGCUUACUACUGAUAAUAGACAUGACUACUCUGAAGAUGGUAACACUGAUAUGAUGAUGACCCC